Sapajus apella (tufted capuchin) is the source of this 129-nucleotide long non-coding RNA. RefSeq lists it as uncharacterized. NCBI's taxonomy places the organism in Eukaryota, Metazoa, Chordata, Mammalia, Primates, Cebidae. The transcript has 2 exons. The record is from RefSeq and is a predicted model, not a curated record.
AAUUACCAGCUGGGUGCGGUGGCUCAUGUCUGUAAUCCCAGCACUUUGGGAGGCCAAGGCGGGCAAAUUACAAGGUCGGGAGAUGAAGACCAUGCUGGCCAACAUGGUAAAACCCUGUCUCUACUAAAA